GCACGGAUGGCCGAGUGGUCUAAGGCGCCAGACUCAAGCAUGUGCUUCGCACGAGAAAGUGCGGUGGGGCGUUCUGGUAUCCAUAUGGAUGCGUGGGUUCGAAUCCCACUCCGUGCA
Molecule: transfer RNA, 117 nt
Organism: Toxocara canis (dog roundworm)
Lineage: Eukaryota; Metazoa; Nematoda; Chromadorea; Rhabditida; Toxocaridae
Rfam family: tRNA
About the family: Transfer RNA (tRNA) molecules are approximately 80 nucleotides in length. Their secondary structure includes four short double-helical elements and three loops (D, anti-codon, and T loops). Further hydrogen bonds mediate the characteristic L-shaped molecular structure. tRNAs have two regions of fundamental functional importance: the anti-codon, which is responsible for specific mRNA codon recognition, and the 3' end, to which the tRNAs corresponding amino acid is attached (by aminoacyl-tRNA synthetases). tRNAs cope with the degeneracy of the genetic code in two manners: having more than one tRNA (with a specific anti-codon) for a particular amino acid; and 'wobble' base-pairing, i.e. permitting non-standard base-pairing at the 3rd anti-codon position.
Source: Rfam